RNAcentral lists this ribosomal RNA (472 nucleotides) under uncultured bacterium. Its description in RNAcentral is "bacterial SSU rRNA". It matches the Rfam family "Bacterial small subunit ribosomal RNA", at positions 335 to 799 of the family's 1533-position model. The record is from RNAcentral.
ACUCCUACGGGAGGCAGCAGUGGGGAAUAUUGCACAAUGGGCGCAAGCCUGAUGCAGCCAUGCCGCGUGUAUGAAGAAGGCCUUCGGGUUGUAAAGUACUUUCAGCAGUGAGGAAGGUGGGUAUGUUAAUAGCAUAUUCAUUUGACGUUAGCUGCAGAAGAAGCACCGGCUAACUCCGUGCCAGCAGCCGCGGUAAUACGGAGGGUGCGAGCGUUAAUCGGAAUUACUGGGCGUAAAGCGCAUGCAGGUGGUUUGUUAAGUCAGAUGUGAAAGCCCGGGGCUCAACCUCGGAAUUGCAUUUGAAACUGGCAAACUAGAGUACUGUAGAGGGGGGUAGAAUUUCAGGUGUAGCGGUGAAAUGCGUAGAGAUCUGAAGGAAUACCGGUGGCGAAGGCGGCCCCCUGGACAGAUACUGACACUCAGAUGCGAAAGCGUGGGGAGCAAACAGGAUUAGAUACCCUGGUAGCACAAG